Molecule: ribosomal RNA, 581 nt
Filed under: Lomentospora prolificans
Lineage: Eukaryota; Fungi; Ascomycota; Sordariomycetes; Microascales; Microascaceae
Description: LSU rRNA
Rfam family: Eukaryotic large subunit ribosomal RNA (bases 300-581)
Source: RNAcentral
ACGGAGCGAAAAGCGAAAAAGAAAGUGGAGUGCAGAAUUCAGUGAAUCAUGCGAUCUUUGAACGCGACUUUGCCCCCGGCAGAAUCUGCCGGGCAUGCCUGUCGGGGCGUCAUUUAACCCCUCGAGCCUGGGUUUUUACAACCCAAAGGAUCGGUUUGGGGGCGCUACGGUUGUCAUCUGACCGCCGUAGGCUCUGAAAUACAGUGGCGGUCCCGCCGCGGCGCCUUCUGCGUAGUAGAUUUACAACUCGCAUUGGGUCCCGGCGAAGGCCAGCCGUCAAACCCUCUAUUCUUAUGGUUUGACCUCGGAUCAGGUAGGGUUACCCGCUGAACUUAAGCAUAUCAAUAAGCGGAGGAAAAGAAACCAACAGGGAUUGCCUCAGUAACGGCGAGUGAAGCGGCAACAGCUCAAAUUUGAAAUCUGGCCGCCUGUGCGGUCCGAGUUGUAAUUUGAAGAGGAUGCUUUUGGCAAGGUGCCUUCCGAGUGCCCUGGAAUGGGACGCCAUAGAGGGUGAGAGCCCCGUAUGGUCGGUCGCCGAGCCUCUGUAAAGCUCCUUCGACGAGUCGAGUAGUUUGGGAAUG